RNAcentral lists this ribosomal RNA (473 nucleotides) under uncultured Bacillota bacterium. RNAcentral's name for it is "uncultured Firmicutes bacterium partial 16S ribosomal RNA". It matches the Rfam family "Bacterial small subunit ribosomal RNA", at positions 1063 to 1533 of the family's 1533-position model. Lineage: Bacteria; Bacillati; Bacillota. The record is from RNAcentral.
CGUCGUGAGAUGUUGNGNUAAGUCCNGCGACGAGCGCNACCCUUAUUGUUAGUUGCCAUCAUUUAGUUGGGCACUCNAGCGAGACUGCCGGUGACAANCCGGAGGAAGGUGGGGAUGACGUCAAAUCAUCAUGCCCCUUAUGACCUGGGCUACACACGUGCUACAAUGGGAAGUACANNGAGUCGCUAGCCCGCGAGGUCAUGCAAAUCUCUUAAAGCUUCUCUCAGUUCGGAUUGCAGUCUGCAACUCGCCUUCAUGAAGCCGGAAUCGCUAGUAAUCGCGGAUCAGCACNCCNCNGUGAAUNCGUUNCCGGGCCUUGUNCNCCCCCCCCGUCCCACCCCGAGAGUUUGUAACCCCCGAAGUCGGUGAGGUAACCUUUUUGGAGCCAGCCGUCCUAAGGUGGGAUAGAUGAUUAGGGGUUAAGUCGUAACAAGGAAGCCGUAUCGGAAGGUUUUUUCUGGAUCGGGGAACCU